RNAcentral lists this long non-coding RNA (2500 nucleotides) under Homo sapiens (human). RNAcentral describes it as "HSALNT0343012". The record is from RNAcentral. Lineage: Eukaryota; Metazoa; Chordata; Mammalia; Primates; Hominidae.
UCUUAGUAUAUCAAUUAUAUUUUUUACAUAUUUUAGUUGUUAAUUUAAAGUUUACUAUAUACACUUAAAACGAAUCUAUGUCCACUGUCAAACAACACUGUACUGCUUCCUAGGUAGGACAGGGACUUUAUGAGAGAAUAUUCUCAAUUCCUGCCUCUCACUACUUACAAUGUUGUUUUUAUUCCAUAAGCUAUAGUCACAUAAUACACUGUCGUGUACAACAUUUCUUAUAAGGCAGUUCUGCUGAAAAUAAACUGUUUGUUUUUGUUUGCCAGGGAAAGUCUGUAUUAGUCUGCUUUGGCUGCCAUACAAAAUAUCAUUGACUGAGUGGCUUAAUAAUAGGAAUCAACUUCUCAAAGUUAUGGAGGCUGGAAGUCAAAUAUCAAGGUGGUAGCAAAGUCACUGUCUGCUUGGAGUUCCCCUUUUGGUUUGCAGAUGGCUCCCUUCUCACCGUGUCCUCACAUGGCCUUUCCUAGUCCUGUUUAGGAGGAGGCAGAAAGACAGAAAGAAACAGGUUGAAGCUAAGCUUUCUGUUAUCUCUUCUUAUGAGAGCACUGAUUUUCUAAUGAAGUCCCUACCCUCAUGAACUCAUCUCAACCUAAUUACAUCCUAGUAGCCCCAUGUCUAAAUACCUUAACUUUGGGUGUUAGGGCUGCAACAUAUGAAUUUGAGGGAGGGCAGGGUGGGCCCAAUUCAGUCCAAAGCAAAAUCUUUAUUUCUUUUUUACUGUUGAAAGAUAAUUUCACCAGAUUCAGUAUUCCAGUUUCAUGGGGUUUUUCCUUCAAUGCUUUAAAUGUUUCACUCUAUUAUCUUCUUGCUUGCAUGGUUUCUGACAAGAAAUUCACUAUAAUUUUUAUUCUCAUUUCUUUAUAGGUAACAUUUUCAUACUCUGGUAUUUUUCAAGGUUUGCUUUUUGACUUUGUUUUUCUACAGAUUGAAUAUGCUAUUUACAUAUUUAGAUUUUUUUUCAAAAUUAUCCUGCUUCAUUUUCUCAGUGCUUCCUGGACUUGUUGUUUGGUCUUUGUCAUUAAUUUUGAAAAAAAACUCUUAACUGUUAUUACAUCGAAUAUUUUUUCUGCUUUAUUUUCUCUUUCUCUUUGGUUUCAGAUUAUGCAUAUAUUACACCUUUUGUAAUUGUCCCACACAUCUUGGAUGUUCUCUUUCAUUUUUUUUUACAACUAUACUUUUUCUUUGCAUUUAUGUUUGAGAAGUUUCCAUUGUCAUUUUCAAGCCUACUGAUUCUUUCCUUAGGCACAAUUCAAUGUGUUAUUCCAUCAAAAGCAGAUUUUCCUUUUUUUUUUUUUUUAGCAUGUUAAGAUUCUUUCUUAGAGUUGCACUCUUUCUGAAGAGUUGAUCUAUUCUUCCACGUUCAUCAAUUUUUCAUUUGAUUUCUUAGCAUAUUAUACAUAGAUACUUUAAAUUACCGCUGUGGUGAUUCCAAAAUUUGUGUCAUAUCUGAGUCUGGUUCUGUUGGUUGCUCUAACACUCCAGAGGUGUUUUGUUGCUGGCAUUUUCUGUUGUGUAUGUGUGUGUUUGCCUUUUAGCAUGCCUUGUAAUUUUUGGUUCAAAGUCAGACAUGAUGUAUCUGAUAACAGAAACUAAGAAAAAUGGGUCUUUGUUGUGAGAGAUUAUGGAGAUCUUCCUAGAAGGUAACUUGUGAUUAUAGUUUUCUAGAGCUGUUGCUGCCUGAGACAUUAAUACUCUCAGGUGUUGUUUUUUGUUCCCCCUGUGGUCUUUAGGUUUUACUAGAAACAAAACUUCCUGAUGUAUAGUCUGACACUUGCAAUUCUUUCAGCUGUAAUCCUCUGUUUUAUACAGUAGCAUUAUUGGUAUUGUGGUGAAAGGUGAGGAAAAAGAAAAUGCUCUAUAAUCCUUUUAUUAGGUCCAGAUAUUUUCAGUGGGUCUGUGUGUCUGAGCCGUUACCUUCAUAAAUGCUUUUUUGAUCUCCUUGUCUGAAACUCAGUUGAUACAGGAAGUUGAUCUGGGAAGGGUAGAGCGGCCUCAACUUAGGUACUUCCUUUUUCCCACAAUAGUUAGGCUUGGGUAUUUUCCCUUGAGGGCAGUUGGAGAACACAAAGUUCGGUGUGUAUUUCAAAAUUGCCAUCUUUUCUCUCUCUGCAUUGGAAGCAUAAUGGGAUUUCUUCACCAAUCUUCAGCACAAAAAUCUGGUGGGGUUCCUGGAGAUAAUAAAGGCUACUAUAAGCUUUAUAGAUUCAACAUGCUUACUCUCAGCAUCACCCAGGAUGAUCUUGUACAGUACAAAUCAGAAAAUGGGAUAUUAAGGCUCAACACCAUGUGGAAGCUGCCAAGGCAUGGGGCUUGCAUGCUCUGAAGCCACACCCGAGCUGUUCUUGACCCCUUUUAGUCAUGGCAGGAGUGACUGGGACACUGGGCACCAAUUCCUAGACUGCACAAAGAAGAGGGACCCUGAGACGGGCCCACAAACCAUUUUGUUUUUCCUAGCCCUUUGGGUCUGUGGUGGGAGGGGCUGCUACAAGAA